Molecule: ribosomal RNA, 379 nt
Filed under: Amblyomma dissimile (iguana tick)
Lineage: Eukaryota; Metazoa; Arthropoda; Arachnida; Ixodida; Ixodidae
Description: partial large subunit ribosomal RNA
Source: RNAcentral
UUUUAAAUUGCUGUAGUAUUUUGACUAUACAAAGGUAUUGUAAUAAGACUUUAAUUGAGUGCUAAAAGAAUGGAAUUACAAAAAAAGGCUUUUUUAAUUUUAAAAAUUAAAAUUAUUUUUUUUUGUGAAGAAACAAAAAUUUAAAUUAAAGACAAGAAGACCCUAAGAAUUUUUUUUUUUAUUAAAAUAAUAUUUUAUUUUAAAAAUUUAAUUGGGGCGAUUAAUUAAUAUUAAAAACUUUAUUAACAAAAAAAAAUGAUCCAUUAUUAAUGAUUAUUUGAUUAAAAUACUCUAGGGAUAACAGCGUAAUAAUUUUUGAUAGUUCUUAUAGAAAAAAUAGUUUGCGACCUCGAUGUUGGAUUAGGAUUCUUUUUUAAUG